UACGGGGGGGGCAAGCGUUGUUCGGAAUUACUGGGCGUAAAGCGUGCGCAGGCGGUUGUGCAAGACAGAUGUGAAAUCCCCGGGCUUAACCUGGGAAUUGCAUUUGUGACUGCACGGCUAGAGUGUGUCAGAGGGGGGUAGAAUUCCACGUGUAGCAGUGAAAUGCGUAGAUAUGUGGAGGAAUACCGAUGGCGAAGGCAGCCCCCUGGGAUAACACUGACGCUCAUGCACGAAAGCGUGGGGAGCAAACAGG
This 253-nucleotide ribosomal RNA is filed under the name uncultured bacterium. RNAcentral's name for it is "partial 16S ribosomal RNA". It matches the Rfam family "Bacterial small subunit ribosomal RNA", at positions 524 to 776 of the family's 1533-position model. The record is from RNAcentral.